Molecule: ribosomal RNA, 302 nt
Filed under: uncultured bacterium
Lineage: Bacteria
Description: partial 16S ribosomal RNA
Rfam family: Bacterial small subunit ribosomal RNA
Source: RNAcentral
GCAGUCGCCGCGGUAAUACGAAGGGGGCUAGCGUUGCUCGGAAUGACUGGGCGUAAAGGGCGCGUAGGCGGAUUGUUUAGUUAGGCGUGAAAUUCCUGGGCUUAACCUGGGGACUGCGCUUAAUACAGGCAGUCUAGAGUGAGGAAGAGGGUUGUGGAAUUCCCAGUGUAGAGGUGAAAUUCGUAGAUAUUGGGAAGAACACCGGUGGCGAAGGCGGCAACCUGGUCCUUGACUGACGCUGAGGCGCGAAAGCGUGGGGAGCAAACAGGAUUAGAUACCCGGGUAGUCCCUGUCUCUUAUAC